UACGAAGGGGGCUAGCGUUGCUCGGAAUUAUUGGGCGUAAAGAGCGCGCAGGCGGUCGUGCAAGUCGCGUGUGAAAGCCCCCGGCUCAACUGGGGAGGGUCACGCGAUACUGCUCGACUUGAAGGCAGGAGAGGGAAGUGGAAUUCCCGGUGUAGUGGUGAAAUGCGUAGAUAUCGGGAGGAACACCAGUGGCGAAGGCGACUUCCUGGCCUGUUCUUGACGCUGAGGCGCGAAAGCUAGGGUAGCAAACGGG
RNAcentral lists this ribosomal RNA (253 nucleotides) under uncultured bacterium. RNAcentral's name for it is "partial 16S ribosomal RNA". It matches the Rfam family "Bacterial small subunit ribosomal RNA", at positions 524 to 776 of the family's 1533-position model. The record is from RNAcentral.